Small nuclear RNA from Octodon degus (degu), 119 nucleotides. Its record names the gene U4. It matches the Rfam family "U4 spliceosomal RNA". Rfam says of the family: U4 small nuclear RNA (U4 snRNA) is a component of the major U2-dependent spliceosome. The structure of U4 snRNA from yeast and human has been reported. The record is from Ensembl. NCBI's taxonomy places the organism in Eukaryota, Metazoa, Chordata, Mammalia, Rodentia, Octodontidae.
AGCUUUGCACAGCGGCAGUAUCAUAGCCAAUGAGGCAUAGCUAAGCCAUAAUUAUUGCUAAUAGAAUACUAAAAACGCAGGAUUAUCCCUGAAAAAGAUUUUUAAAAUAUUAAAAAGUA